Molecule: long non-coding RNA, 334 nt
Filed under: Setaria viridis
Lineage: Eukaryota; Viridiplantae; Streptophyta; Magnoliopsida; Poales; Poaceae
Description: long non-coding RNA (SVIR_LNC007233)
Source: RNAcentral
GGGAGUAAAGAGGAGCCUUGAAUGCCUUAUGAAUAGCUCAAGUCAAAGUUAGGUCCAGAGAGUUACUAUGGGAGGAGGUGAAGGGGUAUCCAGAACUUUCUUCGGAAACUCCGGACUACCCGCAACAUUCUACGGAAAUUUUGAAACUCUCAGAAUAGCACCAAAUUAAAAUGAUCCCAAGUGAUGUAUGUGCAUGUGCUAAAAGUGUCUCUCAUAGGUUGGUUAGAUUAUCUUGACCACCUCAUUCAAAAUAAAGUCUAGAGAUUACGCACCCCUCUUAAUAGUGUGGCGUUUCUAAACUUAAAUUCAAAUCAAAAUUAAAUUUAGUCUUCAC